This 397-nucleotide ribosomal RNA is filed under the name uncultured bacterium. Its description in RNAcentral is "bacterial SSU rRNA". It matches the Rfam family "Bacterial small subunit ribosomal RNA", at positions 362 to 776 of the family's 1533-position model. The record is from RNAcentral.
UAUNGCACAAUGGGGGAAACCCUGAUGCAGCNACGCCGCGUGAAGGAUGAAGUAUUUCGGUAUGUAAACUUCUAUCAGCAGGGAAGAAAAUGACGGUACCUGACUAAGAAGCCCCGGCUAACUACGUGCCAGCAGCCGCGGUAAUACGUAGGGGGCAAGCGUUAUCCGGAUUUACUGGGUGUAAAGGGAGCGUAGACGGUAUGGCAAGUCUGAUGUGAAAACCCGGGGCUCAACCCCGGGACUGCAUUGGAAACUGUCGGACUAGAGUGUCGGAGAGGCAAGUGGAAUUCCUAGUGUAGCGGUGAAAUGCGUAGAUAUUAGGAGGAACACCGGUGGCGAAGGCGGCCUGCUGGACGACAACUGACGCUGAGGCUCGAAAGCGUGGGGAGCGAACAGG